This 222-nucleotide ribosomal RNA is filed under the name Triticum aestivum (bread wheat). Its description in RNAcentral is "partial small subunit ribosomal RNA". The record is from RNAcentral. Lineage: Eukaryota; Viridiplantae; Streptophyta; Magnoliopsida; Poales; Poaceae.
AUGAAUGUCUUGGCCUGGAACUGUCGAGGACUGGGGUUGGACUCGACAGUUGGCGAAUUGAGAGACCUGGUACGGUCUUACAACCCAGCGCUGGUGUUCUUGUCAGAGACAAAGAAGAGUGCAAAAGCGAUGGAGAGACUCAAAUGGAGCCUUGGGUUCUCGCAAGGGGUGACAGUGAGUUGUGCAAGAAAGAGUGGAGGAUUGGCGCUGUGGUGGAGAGAU